This 484-nucleotide ribosomal RNA is filed under the name uncultured bacterium. RNAcentral describes it as "partial 16S ribosomal RNA". It matches the Rfam family "Bacterial small subunit ribosomal RNA", at positions 30 to 507 of the family's 1533-position model. The record is from RNAcentral.
AUUGAACGCUGGCGGCAGGCCUAACACAUGCAAGUCGAGCGGAUGAAGGGAGCUUGCUCCUGGAUUCAGCGGCGGACGGGUGAGUAAUGCCUAGGAAUCUGCCUGGUAGUGGGGUAUAACGUCCGGAAACGGGCGCUAAUACCGCAUACGUCCUGAGGGAGAAAGUGGGGGAUCUUCGGACCUCACGCUAUCAGAUGAGCCUAGGUCGGAUUAGCUAGUUGGUGGGGUAAAGGCCUACCAAGGCGACGAUCCGUAACUGGUCUGAGAGGAUGAUCAGUCACACGGGAACUGAGACACGGUCCAGACUCCUACGGGAGGCAGCAGUGGGGAAUAUUGGACAAUGGGCGGAAGCAUGAUCCAGCCAUGCCGCGUGUGUGAAGAAGGUCUUCGGAUUGUAAAGCACUUUAAGUUGGGAGGAAGGGCAGUAAGUUAAUACCUUGCUGUUUUGACGUUACCAACAGAAUAAGCACCGGCUAACUUCGUG